This 2296-nucleotide long non-coding RNA is filed under the name Homo sapiens (human). Its description in RNAcentral is "HSALNT0408332". The record is from RNAcentral. Lineage: Eukaryota; Metazoa; Chordata; Mammalia; Primates; Hominidae.
ACUUAUACAUUUGGCCCUGUCAGUCUUUUCUGUUGUUUCCUAUCCCAGCGGGAAAAAUGUUAUUUGCUUGACUCUGAUUACUAGGGAGGGGCUACCUCUUUUUCUGGAGCUACUGAACUUUUCUACUUCUUUCGAGAAUUGUCUCUUCCAUUCUUCCACUCCCAGGAUAACUCCUCCAUCAGUCGUCCCUCCUCUAGCCUCCAUUUCCUCUGCAAUCUGGUUCUUAGCUGUUGUAGAGCAGGGUGGCCUUGGCAGCAGUUGUGAAACAACAACAAAAAAAGACCCUGGAACAAGAGUGAGAUUUCUGAAUGCAAUUUUUACUUUUUAUUUUUCGUACUUCUAUAUCCUUUUUAAAAAGAGUCCUCAUGGUGGUGUUACCAGGAAGCUGUGCUGCCUGAAGAAUCAUCAAUUAAUCGUCAGGUACACAUUGUGAACCUGAGUUUCCUCAUCUGAAAGAAGGGAAUAAUAGCAUAUGCUCAUAGAAUUGAGAUCUAUUGAAAAUAAAAAUAAGAGUUAAUUUUUCAUCUGUACAAUUAGAAAAGACAAAUAUUGAUUAUAUUCAGAGUUGAUGAGCAUAUGGUAAAACAAAUAUUCACAUGUACUGUGAGACUAUUAAGUAGUACAACAUUUUUGGAAGUCAUUUUGGCAAUAUCAAACUUUAGAAGAUAUGUGCUUUUGGACACAUCAAUUCCUCUUCUAGAGAUUUAUCAUACAUUAAUACUCCUAUGCCAAAUAUGGUCAUUGUAGUAGUUGUGGCAAUAGUGUUUUUUUUAAAGAGCCAAAAACUUAUAUGUUUCUAAAAGGAAAUUGGUUUAAGAAAAGUUUGAUCAUUCAUAUAGAGCCACAUUAUACAGUGAUGAAAAAAUGAUGUGGAGUUACAUUUACUCACAUGAAAAAAAUUGUUCAAUGUAUAUUGUUAAACAAAAAAAGGCAAAUUGAAAGUUAAUUUUAUAUGUGGUAUUACAUUUUUGUAACAGUAUACAUAUUUGUGUAUUUAAAAUAUGAGUAUACAAUUAAAUUACAUGAUAACAUGAUAAGUGAAGUCCAGAAAUUCAUUCUAUAAAAUUCCAGGUUAUGUUACUGAGAGAUGGAUGGAUGGAAUGACUGAUGUGAGUCUAUUUGGCUAGCUGGCUACACAACCCAAAUUCAUCAAGGACUCAGCUGUGAUUUGUUGCCACAAACAAUUCUUCACUGAGCACUUGGACUUAAAUAUCAUCCAUCCAUUUUACUCUCUCCCCACCUGCUAUCACCAAUCAUGUUAUAUCCAAACUCAAGUUGUUUCAGGGUCUUACUGUAUUUUUAUAUCAUUAGAAAUGCAGAUGAAUAUAUCCUGAACAUCAUAGGAUAUACUUGAGAAUGUGUAUUUCAUAUAAAGAGAACUUUUAUUUUCUAAGUGUUGUAUUUAUAUAUUUAAAUUACUAAUAAGUUACACAAAUUAAUUCAAGAUGGAUUAAAGACUUAAAUGUUAGACCUAAAACCAUAAAAACCCUAGAAGAAAACCUAGGCAAUACCAUUCAGGACAUAGGCAUGGACAGGGACUUCAUGACUAAAACACCAAAAGCAAUGGCAACAAAAGCCAAAAUAGACAAAUGGGAUCUAAUUAAACUAAAGAGUUUCUGCACAGCAAAAGAAACUUCCAUCAGAGUAAACAGGUAACCUACAGAAUGGGAGAAAAUUUUUGCAGUCUACCCAUCUGACAAAGGGCUAAUAUCCAGAAUCUACAAAGAACUUAAACAAAUUUACAAGAAAAAAACCACCCCAUCAAAAAGUGGGCAAAGGAUAUGAACAGACGCUUCUCAAAAGAAGACAUUUAUGCAGCCAACAGACACAUGAAAAAAUGCUCAUCAUCACUGGUCAUCAGAGAAAUGCAAAUCAAAACCACAAUGAGAUACCAUCUCACGCCAGUUAGAAUGGUGAUCAAUAAAAAGUCAGGAAACAACAUGCUGGAGAGGAUGUGGAGAAACAGGAAUGCUUUUAUACUGUUGGUGGGAGUGUAAAUUAGUUCAACUAUUGUGGAAGACAGUGUGGCGAUUCCUCAAGUAUCUAGAACUAGAAAUACCAUUUGACCCAGUGAUUCCAUUACUGGGUAUAUAACCAAAGGAUUAGAAAUCAUGCUGCUAUAAAGACAUAUGCACACGUAUGUUUAUUGUGGCACUAUUCACAAUAGCAAAGACUUGGAACCAACCAAAAUGUCCAUCAAUGAUAGACUGGAUUUAGAAAAUGUGGCACAUAUACACCACGGAAUACUAUGCAGCCAUAAAAAAAGGAUGAGUUCAUGUCCUUUGCAGGGACAUGG